Molecule: ribosomal RNA, 254 nt
Filed under: uncultured bacterium
Lineage: Bacteria
Description: partial 16S ribosomal RNA
Rfam family: Bacterial small subunit ribosomal RNA
Source: RNAcentral
CACGUAGGGGGCGAGCGUUGUCCGGAUUUAUUGGGCGUAAAGAGCUCGUAGGCGGUUCGAUAAGUCGGGUGUGAAAACUCUGGGCUCAACUCAGAGACGCCACCCGAUACUGUUGUGACUUGAGUCCGGUAGGGGAGUAUGGAAUUCCCGGUGUAGCGGUGAAAUGCGCAGAUAUCGGGAGGAACACCAGUGGCGAAGGCGGUACUCUGGGCCGGAACUGACGCUGAGGAGCGAAAGCGUGGGGAGCGAACAGG